UGGUGAUAGUGGUUAAUGAGCUCCACCACGGAAUUAAAUGUCAGAGGAUCAGAAAAGCCAUAUUUACCAUCCCGGUGAUAGAUCUUUAUUAACUUAUUAUUGCCUCCCUUCCGCAAAGUCAAAGUAUAAUCUCCCUGCAUUUUUGUUGAGGCAUCUCGGACCAAGAAGGUCCCAUCUGGCAUAUCCCGCAAUUUGUCAUUUACCUCCUCCCUUGAAAUAUCCC
This 223-nucleotide long non-coding RNA is filed under the name Homo sapiens (human). RNAcentral's name for it is "LNC_000092". The record is from RNAcentral. Lineage: Eukaryota; Metazoa; Chordata; Mammalia; Primates; Hominidae.